AACCCAAACCUCUACUCUCGAACCAAUUAGCACCGAUAACCUUGUGGACCGAAGAAAUAGUGAACCUCGUUUGCGGCUAUUAAUAAUCAAUUCGAAAUUUGAUACAUGAGUUUAAUCGGGAAAGGAACGACUCGAUUGACGAAUUCCAUCAUCGCUGGAACGUCCCAAGGGACUGGCCGUCGAUGAAGAUUUCUCUAUCCUUCUCUCUCCCCGUUUAUCAUGCAGUGUAUACCACAGCGAUUGAAAUGGAGCCGAAGUUGAUUGUUGAACUCAGCGACGUAAGCCUCUUCGCAAUUCGACGCCAACGGACGACGGAACGCUUAGUCAUAGGCCUCGAGCUUCUGUCUCCGAUGUCGAAGAAGCAUUCGCACCAAAUGAAUCCACCGGCCUGCUCGCGCAACUCUCGAUGUUGCUCUCCCCACAGGAACUGGAGGUGAUUCAGUUCGAGGUAAGGUCAGGCCGCCGGAGCAGCUGACGGCGAGUAGGCGGAGACAUCUGAACACUCGAAUCGACGGGAAAUGUACGUCAGGCGGGAGAGGAAAUCCAGGGGAUCCAGGUUGGAGCUUCGUGCGUCUUCCGUGAUCGGAAAUGGAAGACUGGC
This 601-nucleotide long non-coding RNA is filed under the name Eucalyptus grandis. Its description in RNAcentral is "long non-coding RNA (EGRA_LNC005557)". Lineage: Eukaryota; Viridiplantae; Streptophyta; Magnoliopsida; Myrtales; Myrtaceae. The record is from RNAcentral.